This 166-nucleotide ribosomal RNA is filed under the name uncultured bacterium. Its description in RNAcentral is "partial 16S ribosomal RNA". It matches the Rfam family "Bacterial small subunit ribosomal RNA", at positions 1335 to 1500 of the family's 1533-position model. The record is from RNAcentral.
CUAGUAAUCGUAGGUCAGCAUACUACGGUGAAUACGUUCCCGGGCCUUGUACACACCGCCCGUCAAACCAUGAGAGUUGGCAACACCCGAAGUCGGUAGUCUAACCGCAAGGAGGACGCCGCCGAAGGUGGGGUUGAUGAUUAGGGUUAAGUCGUAACAAGGUAUC